This 1485-nucleotide ribosomal RNA is filed under the name uncultured Bordetella sp. RNAcentral describes it as "partial 16S-23S ribosomal RNA intergenic spacer". It matches the Rfam family "Bacterial small subunit ribosomal RNA". The record is from RNAcentral. Lineage: Bacteria; Pseudomonadati; Pseudomonadota; Betaproteobacteria; Burkholderiales; Alcaligenaceae.
CUGGGAGAACGGCAGUUUGUAGGCUUGAUCCUGUUCAGAUUGAACGCUGGCGGGACGCUUUAUACAUGCAAGUCGAACGGCAGCACGUGACUUCCCGGUCUGGUGGCGAGUGGCGAACGGGUGAGUAAUGUAUCGGAACGUGCCUAGUAGCGGGGAUAACUGCUGCGAAAGCGUAGCUAAUAUCAAAGGCUGGCUGCUCCUUCGGGGAAAGCGGGGGAUCUCGCCCGCACUAUUAGAGCGGCCGAUAUCGGAUUAGCUAGUUGGUGGGGUAACGGCUCACCAAGGCGACGAUCCAGCUGGUUUGAGAGACGACCAGCCACAUCGGGACUGAGACGACGGCCCAGACUCUACGGGAGGCAGCAGUGGGGAAUUUUGACAAUGGGGAAUCCCUGAUCCAGCCAUCCCGCGUGGGCAGAUGAAGGCCUUCGGGCCAGGUGCCACCUUGGCAGGAGAACGCACGGAUAAUACCCGUGCAACUGACGGUACCUGGUACAGCUGGCACCGCCACCAACGCCAGCAGCCGCGGUAAUACGUAGGGUGCAAGUUGUUAAUCGGAACUAUUGGGCGCUGUGCGGCAGGCGGUUCGAAAGAAAGAUGUAAAUCCCAGAGCUUAACUUUGGAACUGCAUUUAACUACCGAGCUAGAGUGUGUCAGAGGGAGGUGGAAUUCGCGUGUAGCAGUGAAAUGCGUAGAUAUGCGGAGGAACAAUUUGAUGGCGAAGGCAGCCUCCUGGGAUAACACUGACGCUCAUGCACGAAAGCGUAGGAGCAAACAGGAUUAGAUGACCUCCUGGUAGUCCACGCCCUAAACGAUGUCAACUAGCUGCUGGGGCCUUCGGGCCUUUAGAAGCAGGAAAUAACUGCGAAGCUGACCGCCUGGGGAGUACGGCCGCAAGAUUAAAACUCAAGGAAUUGACGGGGACCGCAACAAGCAGGAUGCAUGGAUUAAUUCGAUGCAACGCGAAAACCUUACCUACCCUGACAUGUCUGGAAUCCCGAAGAGAUUUGGGAGUGCUCGCAAGAGAACCGGAACACAGGUGCUGCAUGGCUGUCGUCACCGUGUCGUGAGAUGCUGGGUUAAGUCCCGCAACGAGCGCAACCCUUUGGCUACGGUUGCUACGAAAGGGCACUGACGAGACUUCGGUGACAAACCGGAGGAAGGUGGGGAUGACGUCGAGUCCUCAUGGCCUCGGUGGUGAAGCCACACGCUUCAUGUUGGGCUGUCGGGACAGAGGGUCGCCAACCCUGCAGGAGCCAAUCCCGAAAAACCCGACUUAAUCCUGAACGGUGUCUGCAACCUCGAUUGCGUGAAGCUGGGAAUCGCUAGUAAUCGCGACCAGCAUGUCGCGGUAAUAUGUUCCCGGCCCUGUACACACCGCCCGUCACACCAUGGGAGUGGGUUUACCAGGUAUAGUUAGCCUAACCGUAAGAGUGGCGAUUACCACGGUGAGGAUUCAUGACUGGGGUGGGCGCCGUACAUGGCGUA